AGGUACUCUUCCCAUUGUUUUACUUACCUACCAAAUGUACUAUUAUAGCUCAAACUAGACUUUGAUUUCAAAUUAAACAAACAUUUGAAAACAUUUCUUUUGUGAAGGGAUCAGUCACAACUUAGUUUAGGGGUAACUCCAUAAACUUAGGAAAGCUUUGAAUAUCUAUCAAGAUUUUAAAUAUCUAUACAGCACUAUUUUACUGUUUCAGUCUUUUUUUGAAUAACUUUAUUUCUUCUGCUGCUUGUGAUAGUCAAAUUACUCUACGGUUUAUUUUAAAUGAAAUGUUCUAUGCCCUUGCUUGCAUGUUUCAGAUGCUAUUGUUUAGUAGACAGCAAAUGACUUGCUUGCCUGGGAUGCUGCAAGUUUCGUAGUUACUCAUUUUGGCCAAUCUUUUCUGCCUGCAGUU
This 409-nucleotide unclassified non-coding RNA is filed under the name Hevea brasiliensis (rubber tree). The record is from RNAcentral. Lineage: Eukaryota; Viridiplantae; Streptophyta; Magnoliopsida; Malpighiales; Euphorbiaceae.